UACGUAGGGGGCAAGCGUUGUCCGGAAUCAUUGGGCGUAAAGAGCGUGUAGGCGGCUCGGUAAGUCCGCUCUGAAAGCCCGGGGCUCAACCCCGGGAGGCGGGCGGAUACUGUCGGGCUAGAGUCCGGAAGAGGCGAGUGGAAUUCCUGGUGUAGCGGUGAAAUGCGCAGAUAUCAGGAGGAACACCAAUGGCGAAGGCAGCUCGCUGGGACGUUACUGACGCUGAGACGCGAAAGCGUGGGGAGCAAACAGG
RNAcentral lists this ribosomal RNA (253 nucleotides) under uncultured bacterium. RNAcentral's name for it is "partial 16S ribosomal RNA". It matches the Rfam family "Bacterial small subunit ribosomal RNA", at positions 524 to 776 of the family's 1533-position model. The record is from RNAcentral.